Molecule: ribosomal RNA, 769 nt
Filed under: bacterium enrichment culture clone D34
Lineage: Bacteria
Description: bacterial SSU rRNA
Rfam family: Bacterial small subunit ribosomal RNA
Source: RNAcentral
GAGUUUGAUCCUGGCUCAGGAUGAACGCUAGCGGCAGGCUUAAUACAUGCAAGUCGUGGGGCAGCAGGGGUAGUAAUACUCGCUGGCGACCGGCAAACGGGUGCGCAAUACGUACGCAACCUUCCUUUAAGCGGGGAAUAGCCCAGAGAAAUUUGGAUUAAUACCCCAUAGUAUAUUGAAGAGGCAUCUUUUUAAUAUUAAAGCUCCGGCACUUAAAGAUGGGCGUACGGCUGAUUAGGUAGUUGGCGGGGUAACGGCCCACCAAGCCUACGAUCAGUAGCUGAUGUGAGAGCAUGAUCAGCCACACGGGCACUGAGACACGGGCCCGACUCCUACGGGAGGCAGCAGUAAGGAAUAUUAGUCAAUGGACGCAAGUCUGAACCAGCCAUGCCGCGUGGAGGAUGAAGGUCCUCUGGAUUGUAAACUUCUUUUAUCUGAGACGAAACCUACUUUUUCUAAGGUAGCUGACGGUACCAGAUGAAUAAGCACCGGCUAACUCCGUGCCAGCAGCCGCGGUAAUACGGAGGGUGCAAGCGUUAUCCGGAUUCACUGGGUUUAAAGGGUGCGUAGGUGGGUAUGUAAGUCAGAGGUGAAAUCCCCGAGCUUAACUUGGGAACUGCCUUUGAUACUAUAUAUCUUGAAUGUCGUAGAGGUUAGCGGAAUAUGUCAUGUAGCGGUGAAAUGCAUAGAUAUGACAUAGAACACCAAUUGCGAAGGCAGCUGGCUAAACAUAUAUUGACACUGAUGCUCGAAAGCGUGGGAAUCAAAC